RNAcentral lists this unclassified non-coding RNA (2394 nucleotides) under Hevea brasiliensis (rubber tree). Lineage: Eukaryota; Viridiplantae; Streptophyta; Magnoliopsida; Malpighiales; Euphorbiaceae. The record is from RNAcentral.
GGAAAUUGAGGAAUCUUAUUUUCUUUGCUUUCCUUUCUUUUCCCUCCCCCCUCUAAUAAACAUAUGGAAGUAAACACAACUUCAUUUCUCUUCCACUUUCACUUUUUUCAACAAACAAUGCCUACAUUUAUAGUGUAGAUUUAAUCAAUGAUCAAUUAUCGAGAAAAUCUCCAUAUAAGGAGUUGAAAGUUCACAUUCCACAAAUCACUACCACAACUGAAUCGCUAUAGCUCAUAUCAGUGUGUACACCACAGAGUGCCGUGGAAUACAGAAGAAUUAAGUGAAGGAUCCCAUGGGAGAACAGGAUGCUGAAGCCCAUCCCAGAAGUUACUGGAGAUUCAAUAAACAAGAUUUCUUACCAGAAGAGUCAUUCCAAAGCUGGGCUAAUUACCGCUCUGCAUUAGCACAGACAGGUUUCCGUUUCAAGGAUCGUCUGAUAAGCCGAUCAGAUGAUGCCAAUGAGAUCAGAGAGUUGAGGAAACAAAGCGAGAAUGACAUGAAACCAUGCCUGACCUGGUGGGACCUCACGUGGUUUGGAUUUGGUUCUGUUAUUGGAGCUGGCAUCUUUGUGCUCACUGGCCAAGAAGCCCAUAAACAUGCAGGACCUGCUAUUGUGUUGUCCUACGUUGCUUCAGGAGUUUCAGCAAUGCUAUCUGUUUUCUGCUACACAGAAUUCGCUGUUGAAAUCCCUGUGGCAGGUGGGUCAUUUGCAUACCUAAGAAUUGAAUUAGGCGACUUUGUAGCAUUCAUAACCGCAGGAAACAUCCUGCUUGAAAGCAUUGUGGGCAGUGCAGCAGUGGCCAGAGCAUGGACUUCCUACUUCACAACUCUUCUGAACCGUCCUUCUAACUCUCUACGCAUCCAUACAAAACUAAGUGCAGAUUUCAAUCUCCUGGACCCGAUUGCUGUUGGUGUUUUAGUGAUUGCUGCAACAAUAGCAAUGAUCAGCACAAGGAAAACUUCAUUGUUCAACUGGAUAGCAACUGCAGUCAAUACUUUAGUAAUUUUGUUUGUGAUAAUUGCUGGGUUUGCUCAUGCCAAUACUUCCAAUCUGACCCCAUUUUUGCCUUAUGGAGCUAAGGGGAUUUUUCAAGCAGCUGCAAUUGUUUACUUUGCCUAUGGAGGGUUUGACAGCAUAGCCACCAUGGCAGAAGAAACAAAAAACCCAUCAAGAGACAUACCAUUAGGCCUGCUAGGAUCAAUGUCAACAAUUACUGUGAUAUACUUCUUGAUGGCACUUUCACUAAGUAUGAUGCAAAAAUACCAAGAGAUAGACGAAAAUGCGGCAUACUCGAUUGCAUUUCAGAGAGUUGGGAUGAAUUGGGCAAAGUACGUAGUAGCGCUUGGAGCACUUAAGGGGAUGACCACUGUUCUCCUAGUAGGGGCGCUUGGACAAGCACGAUAUACUACUCACAUUGCACGAGCCCACAUGAUUCCUCCUUGGUUUGCUCUCGUUCAUCCAAAGACUGGAACACCAAUAAAUGCCACACUUUUGAUCACCAUUUCAAGUGCUCUCAUUGCUUUCUUCUCAAGCCUCAAUGUAUUGUCUAGCUUGUUAUCACUGAGCACUCUAUUUAUCUUCAUGAUGAUGGCCGUUGCACUUCUGGUGAGGAGAUAUUAUGUGAGAGAAACCACACCGCGAAAGAACCUCUUGAAGUUGGUUGCUUUCCUGCUGAUAAUUACUGCAUCCUCCAUAGGCACUUCAGCUUACUGGGGACUGAAGCCCAGUGGGUGGGUUGGAUAUAUCAUCACUGUUCCUCUUUGGUUCCUUGGGACAAUAGGAAUGCACAUGACUCUGCCUCAGCAGAGAACACCAAAGUUUUGGGGGGUUCCACUUGUUCCAUGGCUUCCAUCCUUGUCAAUUGCAACAAACAUCUUUCUCAUGGGAUCUUUAGGUGCAUGGGCUUUUCUAAGAUUUGGGAUCUGCACAGUUGUAAUGCUGCUUUACUAUGUCUUUUUUGGUCUUCAUGCAACUUAUGACAUGGCCCAUCAGCAACAGAAAACUUCUUCAUUUGAAGUUAAGGAUGAUGACAUUGCUGGAAAAGGGCCUUGAACCAUUGUAUCCUUCAUCAUUCAAUCCACAACCUGCGAUUAAUAAUCUGUAACACCAAUCAGACUAUUUCCAGCAUAUACAAGACAUCCUAUGCUUGUAGCUGUCAAAUGGAAGGAAAAACUGCUAUCCAAUGUAGCUCAUUUGUUGGUUGUGUUUAUUUUGGAUAAGAUAAUACAAAACAACUUGAAACAAAAAUAGCACAAAGCAGAAUAUCCAAAAUUUAUGCAGAGCAACAUUAUUAAUGAAGGUGUCUGAUUAUUUGUAUCCUUACCUCAUUCACACGGCCUUAUCAAAUGCAACAAAUGUGUGCAUGUGCUUGUGUUUCCCUUCACAUGAUAAAA